This 202-nucleotide ribosomal RNA is filed under the name uncultured bacterium. RNAcentral's name for it is "partial 16S ribosomal RNA". It matches the Rfam family "Bacterial small subunit ribosomal RNA", at positions 152 to 353 of the family's 1533-position model. The record is from RNAcentral.
CGAAAGAAAGAUUAAUACCCGAUGGCAUAAUAGAACCGCAUGGUUUGAUUAUUAAAGAAUUUCGGUUAUCGAUGGGGAUGCGUUCCAUUAGGCAGUUGGUGGGGUAACGGCCCACCAAACCUUCGAUGGAUAGGGGUUCUGAGAGGAAGGUCCCCCACAUUGGAACUGAGACACGGUCCAAACUCCUACGGGAGGCAGCAUG